UCUCCGUUGGUGAACCAGCGGAGGGGUCAUUACAGGACUCGCAAGACUCCUACAACCCUGUGAACUUAACUAUAAGCACGUUGCUUCGCCGGGUGUCUCGCAGGCGGAUCUCCAUCCCCGUGAAGCUAAACCCGCCAGCAGCCUACUAUACUCUGUCACAUUUCGUUUGCAUCUCGAGUACAAUCAAACAAGUUAAAACUUUCAACAACGGAUCUCUUGGUUCUG
Molecule: unclassified non-coding RNA, 225 nt
Filed under: plant metagenome
Description: partial contains small subunit ribosomal RNA, internal transcribed spacer 1, and 5.8S ribosomal RNA
Source: RNAcentral